GCGACUCCCCGCCAACCACUAAUAAAUGUUAUUACUGAAAAAUAACUGCGGAAUAGUGUCUUGACAGCUAAGUGAGGCAGUGAAGACACCAGCACACACUUUGGAAGUGUGGUCAAGGAAAAAAUUGUACUGGAUGAGCAGAUUAAGGAUGAAAUACACAAAACCCUCCACAGCCAUACAGAAGAGAUUCUUCCCCACAAAGUUCCAUCUGAAUGGAUCCAUGAAAAAGUUAGCGACCCAGUAGACCAGAGGGCUGACUCCACUAACAAACUGCAGAUGCUUGGCUUUGGUGACACGUUCCUGAAUGAGGUAGAGGAUGAAGCUGGCUGGGAUGAAGGACAUGGCAAAGAUGACACAGAUGGCCACCACUGCAUCCACUGAUGUGGUCAGACUGUCCAAAAGGAAAAGAAGAAUUUUUAUUCACAAAAGACUACUUUAUAUGUUUUUCUUACAAAAUCAUUAGCUAUACGGUUGUUCAGUAUUUAUACUUACGCAUUAAAACAUUUGAAAUGAA
This is a long non-coding RNA of Labeo rohita (rohu), 514 nucleotides long. RefSeq lists it as uncharacterized. The transcript is spliced from 3 exons. The record is from RefSeq and is a predicted model, not a curated record. NCBI's taxonomy places the organism in Eukaryota, Metazoa, Chordata, Actinopteri, Cypriniformes, Cyprinidae.